UGGGGAAUAUUGCACAAUGGGCGCAAGCCUGAUGCAGCCAUGCCGCGUGUGUGAAGAAGGCCUUCGGGUUGUAAAGCACUUUCAGCGAGGAGGAAGGCGUUAAGGUUAAUAACCUUGGCGAUUGACGUUACUCGCAGAAGAAGCACCGGCUAACUCCGUGCCAGCAGCCGCGGUAAUACGGAGGGUGCAAGCGUUAAUCGGAAUUACUGGGCGUAAAGCGCACGCAGGCGGUUUGUUAAGUCAGAUGUGAAAUCCCCGAGCUUAACUUGGGAACUGCAUUUGAAACUGGCAAGCUAGAGUCUUGUAGAGGGGGGUAGAAUUCCAGGUGUAGCGGUGAAAUGCGUAGAGAUCUGGAGGAAUACCGGUGGCGAAGGCGGCCCCCCUGGACAAAGACUGACGCUCAGGUGCGAAAG
RNAcentral lists this ribosomal RNA (413 nucleotides) under uncultured bacterium. RNAcentral's name for it is "partial 16S ribosomal RNA". It matches the Rfam family "Bacterial small subunit ribosomal RNA", at positions 355 to 759 of the family's 1533-position model. The record is from RNAcentral.